RNAcentral lists this ribosomal RNA (2896 nucleotides) under Clostridioides difficile. RNAcentral describes it as "bacterial LSU rRNA". It matches the Rfam family "Bacterial large subunit ribosomal RNA". The record is from RNAcentral. Lineage: Bacteria; Bacillati; Bacillota; Clostridia; Peptostreptococcales; Peptostreptococcaceae.
UCAAGUUAUUAAGGGUGCAGGGCGGAUGCCUUGGCACUAGGAGCCGAUGAAGGACGUGAUAAGCUGCGAUAAGCUUCGGGGAGUUGCACGUAAACUUUGAUCCGAAGAUUUCCGAAUGAGGAAACUCACUUAGAGUAAUGUCUAAGUAUCAUUAAGUGAAUACAUAGCUUAAUGAGGGGAACUCAGGGAACUGAAACAUCUAAGUACCUGAAGGAAGAGAAAGAAAUUCGAUUCCGUAAGUAGCGGCGAGCGAACGCGGAUUAGCCCAAACCAAUAAAGUUUUCUUUAUUGGGGUUGCGGACAUAUCAUAACGAAGAGGUAUCGUAAUUGAAGAGGUUUGGAAAGACUCACCACAGAAGGUAAUAGUCCUGUAUGUUAAACGAGAAGACUUUAGAUAUGAUCCAGAGUACCACGGGACACGUGAAACCCUGUGGGAAGCAGGAGGGACCACCCUCCAAGGCUAAAUACUACCUAGUGACCGAUAGCGUAUAGUACCGUGAGGGAAAGGUGAAAAGAACCCCGGGAGGGGAGUGAAAUAGAACCUGAAACCCUGCACUUACAAGCUGUGGAAGCACAUUUCUUGUGUGACCGCGUACUUUUUGUAGAACGGGCCAACGAGUUACGUUAAGUAGCAAGGUUAAGCACUUAAGGUGCGGAGCCGUAGCGAAAGCGAGUUUUAACUGAGCGUUCAGUUACUUGACGUAGACCCGAAACCGGGCGACCUACCCAUGAGCAGGAUGAAGCGAAAGUAAAAUUUCGUGGAGGUCCGAACCCACGAGCGUUGAAAAGCUCGGGGAUGACUUGUGGGUAGCGGUGAAAUUCCAAUCGAGCCCGGAGAUAGCUGGUUCUCCCCGAAAUAGCUUUAGGGCUAGCCUCAAGGUGAGAGAUACGGAGGUAGAGCACUGAAUGUCCUAGGGGGUAUUGCACCUACCGAAGACUAUCAAACUCCGAAUGCCGUCAUCUUAUACUUGGGAGUCAGACUGUGGGUGAUAAGAUUCAUAGUCGAAAGGGCAACAGCCCAGAUCGUCAGCUAAGGUCCCUAAAUGUAAGUUAAGUGGUAAAGGAUGUGGGAUUGCACAGACAACCAGGAUGUUGGCUUAGAAGCAGCCACUCAUUCAAAGAGUGCGUAAUAGCUCACUGGUCGAGUGAUCCUGCGCCGAAGAUUUCCGGGGCUAAAACUUACUACCGAAGCUACGGCAUCAGUAAUGAUGGGUAGGGGAGCUUCCCAUACGGGUUGAAGCAUGACCGUAAGGACAUGUGGACAGUAUGGGAGUGAGAAUGUUGGCAUGAGUAGCGAGAUGUGGGUGAGAAUCCCACAGGCCGUAAACCCAAGGUUUCCAGGGGAAGGUUCGUCCGCCCUGGGUUAGUCGGGACCUAAGCUGAGGCCGAAAGGCGUAGGUGAUGGACAACAGGUUGAUAUUCCUGUACUACCGAUAACCAUUUGAGAGAAGGGAUGACACAGUAGGAUAAGCUAAGCACACUGUUGGUUAUGUGUGCCCAAGCAUUGAGGCAGUCAAAGUAGGCAAAUCCGCUUUGAUAAUGCUGGGAUGUGAUGGGGAGCGAAAUUUAGUAGCGAAGUAGCUGAUUUCACACUGUCAAGAAAAGUCUCUAUCGAGGUUAAAGGUACCCGUACCGCAAACCGACACAGGUGGGUGAGGAGAGUAUCCUAAGGCCAGCGAGAGAACUGUUGUUAAGGAACUCGGCAAAAUGACCCCGUAACUUAGGGAUAAGGGGUGCCACCAUCAGGUGGCCGCAGAGAAUAGGCCCAAGCGACUGUUUACCAAAAACAUAGGUUUCUGCUAAGUCGCAAGACGAUGUAUAGGAGCUGACGCCUGCCCGGUGCUGGAAGGUUAAGGGGAUCUGUUAGAGCAAUCGAAGCAGUGAACUUAAGCCCCAGUAAACGGCGGCCGUAACUAUAACGGUCCUAAGGUAGCGAAAUUCCUUGUCGGGUAAGUUCCGACCCGCACGAAAGGCGUAACGAUUUGGGCACUGUCUCAACAACAGACUCGGUGAAAUUGUAAUUCCGGUGAAGAUGCCGGAUACCUGCGACAGGACGGAAAGACCCCAUGGAGCUUUACUGUAGCUUGACAUUGGGUCUUGGUACUACAUGUACAGGAUAGGUGGGAGGCUUUGAAACCAGGACGCCAGUUUUGGCGGAGCCAUCCUUGGGAUACCACCCUUGUAGUACUGGGACUCUAACCAUAGGCCAUGAAUCUGGUCUUGGGACACUGUCAGGUGGGCAGUUUGACUGGGGCGGUCGCCUCCCAAAAGGUAACGGAGGCGCUCAAAGGUUCUCUCAGUACGGUCGGAAAUCGUACGUAGAGUGUAAAGGCAAAAGAGAGCUUGAUUGCAAGACAUACAGGUCGAGCAAGGAUGAAAAUCGGACUUAGUGAUCCGGUGGUUCUGCGUGGAAGGGCCAUCGCUCAACGGAUAAAAGCUACCCUGGGGAUAACAGGCUUAUCUCCCCCAAGAGUCCACAUCGACGGGGAGGUUUGGCACCUCGAUGUCGGCUCAUCACAUCCUGGGGCUGUAGUAGGUCCCAAGGGUUGGGCUGUUCGCCCAUUAAAGUGGUACGCGAGCUGGGUUCAGAACGUCGUGAGACAGUUCGGUCCCUAUCCGUCGCAGGCGUAGGAAAUUUGAGAAGACCUGUCCUUAGUACGAGAGGACCGGGAUGGACGUACCUCUGGUGUACCAGUUGUCCUGCCAAGGGCAUGGCUGGGUAGCUAUGUACGGAAUGGAUAAGCGCUGAAAGCAUCUAAGCGCGAAGCCAACUUCAAGAUAAGAUUUCCCACCGCAAGGGUAAGACCCCAGAAAGACUAUCUGGUUGAUAGGUCGAAGGUGUAAGUGCAGCAAUGUAUUUAGCUUAUCGAUACUAAUAGGUCGAGGACUUGACCAA